This is a long non-coding RNA of Carya illinoinensis, 1789 nucleotides long. RefSeq lists it as uncharacterized. The record is from RefSeq and is a predicted model, not a curated record. The transcript has 2 exons. NCBI's taxonomy places the organism in Eukaryota, Viridiplantae, Streptophyta, Magnoliopsida, Fagales, Juglandaceae.
UUUGCUUUUAUUUCUGUUUUGGUCUUUAGUGGGAUUGUGUCAUUCAAAAGAAUUUCAGACCACACAAAUCUUUCAUUCUCAUUUUCGUAUUCCUCCCAAGUUCUCUCUCUAAACUCAGACCCAUCCUCUAUUCUCUCUCUCUCUCUGUUUUUGAAUUUAUUUAUUAUUUUGUUUAUGAAUUUGAUGAUCUGUGAUUUUUGUUUGCAGAAGAAGGAAAAUAUCACUCCGAUUGGCUUGAAGAUCGUGCUCACGAACCCAGCUCUUUACCAAAGCCUCAAGAUCCACUCCCUCUGCAAACAAUAGGCAAUGAAGUGCUGAAAUCGAUGGUUUCUAACGAGAGAACUGAGAACCAGCUCCACCAAAAUCGAUUCCUCCACUCUCUGUGAUUUUAAUUUCUUUAUUAUCUCCUAAAUUUCUUGCAUAAUCUUUUCUGAUGCUUGGCAGGGACUCGACGAACUGGAGGAAACCGAUUUCAGUAAUCAAAUGGUGGUUCUCGCCCUCUAUGAGACCAUGUACUCCGAUUUGAAUUUCUCUCUAUGGUUUCUAACGAGAGAAUUGAGAAGUAGCUCCACCAAAAUCGAUUCCUCCACUCUCUGUGAUUUUAAUUUCUUUAUUAUCUCCUAAAUUUCCUGCAUAAUCUUUUCUGAUGCUUGACAGGGACUCGACGAACUGGAGGAAACCGAUUUCAGUAAUCAAAGGGUGGUUCUCGCCCUCUAUGAGACCAUGUACUUGCACGAUGUAACCACGAUGCACCAGAUUGUCGCCGACUGGAAGGGAAUCUCCGUUUCUGUCUUCUGAGCCCAGGCAAAGCAUCCCCUCUCUACGUAUCGUACGAGUGGGUCACCACGACUCGCUGAUACCCUCCAUCUCAUCCAUGCUGUUUCCAGCGUGAAAGACCAGCAAAUCCAGCGGCUUCGUGAAGACGAUUGGGAACAAAAGAAAAAAAAAAACAUAAAAUAAAAUAAAAGUGAGGAAAGUCAUGGAGAUGACCCCACUCUUCACUAACUGUUUUGUCCUUGUCCACGGAGGUGGCUUUGGUGCUUGGUGCUAUAACACAUCCUGUCCGAUGAGAUAAGCACAAGCACACGUUUUGUGAUAAGAAUUUAUUUCAAUUACGUCACUAUCAUAUUUUUUUUAUUUUAUUUUGUAGGCCCACGCAUGCAAGUUGACAUUGUGGUUGAGAGAGUGGAUGGGUGUUGCUGUAAAGGUAUUUUGGAGGAGAAUUUUCAGUGAAUUGGUAGUUGAGCAUGUGAACCAGCAUCUCUGUCCUUUUUGGUUGUUGAGCACGUGACAGAAGUAGAGCUGUGAUCAGAAUGAAAGCAUGGAGCAUUCUCUACCCUGAUGAAACUUUCAUAACCUUGGACCAGUGCUUCAAUGAUUUUCUUGUCAAAGUGGACAGAAAGUCUAUCAGUACCGAUGAAAUUACUACCACAAGUCCCAUGGCUGAAUCUAUGGCAAUCACUGCAACAUGUGCUUGAUCAUUUCACAACUAGACCACGAGGGCAAAGUGUUACUCUUCCAAAAUUAAUUUUUUAUUUUUUGUGGAAAAUAAUAGUACAUAAAUAUGGAAUUCAAUUUGCUUAUGAUGAUUUAACAUGAAUUCCGAGUGAUUAUUGGAAUUGCACUUGUUUUGGCUGAAAAAAUUGCUACUGAUGUGAAUGGGGCAGGGCAGUGGAUUAAAUUUAGAGGCAUGGGGUCUCAACCAUAAGAUGUACUCAUUAGUCUUCAACAUGUGCAAUGCACAGGAAAGACUGAUUUUAUUAAAUAAAGAAUACUUUAUGUUACUAAA